CAGUCGCCACGGGAAUGCGUAGGGUGCGAGCGUUAAUCGGAAUUACUGGGCGUAAAGCGUGCGCAGGCGGUUCGCUAAGACAGAUGUGAAAUCCCCGGGCUUAACCUGGGAACUGCAUUUGUGACUGGCGGGCUAGAGUAUGGCAGAGGGGGGUAGAAUUCCACGUGUAGCAGUGAAAUGCGUAGAGAUGUGGAGGAAUACCGAUGGCGAGGCAGCCCCCUGGGCCAAUACUGACGCUCAUGCGCGAAAGCGUGGGGAGCAAACAGGAUUAGAUACCCGCGUAGUCCCUGUCUCUUAUACA
RNAcentral lists this ribosomal RNA (301 nucleotides) under uncultured bacterium. Its description in RNAcentral is "partial 16S ribosomal RNA". It matches the Rfam family "Bacterial small subunit ribosomal RNA", at positions 509 to 808 of the family's 1533-position model. The record is from RNAcentral.